UACGGAGGGUGCAAGCGUUGUCCGGAUUUAUUGGGUUUAAAGGGUGCGUAGGCGGCCCUGUAAGUCAGUGGUGAAAUUCUUGAGCUUAACUGAAGGAUUGCCAUUGAUACUGUAGGGCUUGAGUACAGAUGAGGUAGGCGGAAUUGAUGGUGUAGCGGUGAAAUGCAUAGAUACCAUCAAGAACACCGAUUGCGAAGGCAGCUUACUAAGCUGUAACUGACGCUGAUGCACGAAAGCGUGGGGAUCGAACAGG
Molecule: ribosomal RNA, 253 nt
Filed under: uncultured bacterium
Lineage: Bacteria
Description: partial 16S ribosomal RNA
Rfam family: Bacterial small subunit ribosomal RNA
Source: RNAcentral